UCCGGUUUGUCACCGGCAGUCUCCUUAGAGUGCCCUUGCGUAGCAACUAAGGACAAGGGUUGCGCUCGUUGCGGGACUUAACCCAACAUCUCACGACACGAGCUGACGACAGCCAUGCAGCACCUGUGUUCCAGUUCUCUUUCGAGCACACCCGCCUUUCAGCAGGCUUCCGGACAUGUCAAGGGUAGGUAAGGUUGUUCGCGUUGCAUCGAAUUAAUCCACAUCAUCCACCGCUUGUGCGGGUCCCCGUCAAUUCCUUUGAGUUUUAAUCUUGCGACCGUACUCCCCAGGCGGAUCACUUCACGCGUUAGCUUCGGUACAGGAAAAUCGCUUCUCCAACACCUAGUGAUCAUCGUUUAGGGCGUGGACUAC
RNAcentral lists this unclassified non-coding RNA (372 nucleotides) under uncultured Gammaproteobacteria bacterium. RNAcentral describes it as "contains 16S-23S intergenic spacer region". Lineage: Bacteria; Pseudomonadati; Pseudomonadota; Gammaproteobacteria. The record is from RNAcentral.